GGAGUUUGGUCCGUGUCUCAGUACCAAUGUGGGGGACCUUCCUCUCAGAACCCCUACUGAUCGAUGGCUCGGUGGGCCGUUACCCCGCCGACUACCUAAUCAGACGCAUCCCCAUCCCCUAGCGAUAAAUCUUUGCUUCAUUUCAGAUGUCCUCUACGAAGAACAUAGGGUAUUAAUCCGACUUUCGCCGGGCU
This 194-nucleotide ribosomal RNA is filed under the name uncultured Prevotella sp. RNAcentral's name for it is "partial 16S ribosomal RNA". Lineage: Bacteria; Pseudomonadati; Bacteroidota; Bacteroidia; Bacteroidales; Prevotellaceae. The record is from RNAcentral.